AAUCAAGUGAGAUGUAGGGUCAUUUUCUCAUCGACUUUUAUUCAAUAUGACUUCUUUUGCAACCAGUGGAAUCGCCCCCUGCUGGCCAUUAGAAAGAAUGUAGGUUUAAGGUACUUCCGUAUUGGCUUCACUUUUCAGACCCGAAGGUUGCCGCUUGGUUGAAGUGAGCUCUCCUCCAUUUUAAGGUCCUGUAUCUCCAUCCAGAUAGCAGUAAUGGGAGGUCAUGAUUGAGGGGGUGAUCAGUGUCAUUUGCUAUUGUGAGUGCUAGGCGUGUGAUGGCUCUGUGUUUUUUUUUUUUGUUGAGAGGGGUUAACAUGGUGUAGAAGCUGGGGGAACAGCACAAAAGGAUGGGUUGAAUUAUGCUUUUAUAAAGCAACAGCAGGAGGUGUGUGGCAACAGACAGUGCUCUGAGUUUGCAGAUAACAUGGAAUCUUUGCUGGGAUUGUUUAUGGAUAGAAGUGAUGUGUUGAGUUUAUUGUCUGUCCACCUCAUUCCUAGCUCCCAUGAUACCUUGCGUGAAUUAUGGGCGUGACUUCUGGUGCGUCCUAUCAUUGAACCGGAACCGGCGUUUUCCACGGUAACGGUCAUAAACAGUCGUAUGGUAGCGGUACACUAAUCUUCUUUCUAGAGAGAUUGGGAAAUAAAACAUGUGGGAACACAACUUCUUCUACCUUAAAGCAGACAUAAAUCCUAGUCAGAGCCUUAAAGUCCCACAUCACUGACCUGGGUUUUAUUUUCAACGUCAAGUGAGAUACAAACGGCUGGGUGCUCAUGUGUGUCUGGACCAGGGCGAUCUUGCAGCCACGCAGCUGCAGUACUUUAGAGGCUAAGAAUCUUACCCAUCAAUUGGCGUCACUGGAACAACAACAGAGCCGGCGAACAGUCACAGUGUGGAUCAUUGGUGACAGCUAUGUCCAGCGUGGUGGCCAGAGAGGCUGCAGAGACCAUGGGAAGCAACCUCAGCGUGAUGGAUGUCCGUGUCUGUUGGUUAGGCUGGGGUGGACUGCGGUAGAAAGACCUUCCUACCUUCUUUUCCCAGUCCCUGCGACAAAGAGCAACACCGAAAGUCCUCCUCAUCCACUGUGGCAGCAACAUGGGGGAGGUCAGCAGUGUCAAGCUGGUCAAUGUGAUGGAGGAGGACCUGCACCAGCUUCACCUGGCACCCUGGUAUGAAGGUCAUGUUUUCUUCUGUGACCCAAAAGGUGCCGGUGGAAGGCUGGUGCCAAUCUGGUGAAGCUCGACAAGGUCAGGAAAUCUGUCAACAGUGUUAUAGCUACAAAAAAAUGCUUAAAUGGUGUUAUGAUUUAGCACCCUCACAUUACACAUAAAAGUCCUGGGCUAUUUUUGAAAGAUAGAGUUCAUUUCACACUUAGAGGAAAUUAUAAGUUCUUAAGUACGGCAGCUAAUUGCCUUAAAGACCAUCUCCAAAUGCAGUGAAUUGCUUAUAGUGUCACUGCUUUUGAAUUUGGCCUUUAGGACCCAUUUUGUCACACCUAAACAUAGCCCUGACUGUUAAGGCUAAUGUUGAGUUUAUUUUUUAUGUUCAUUAUGGUUGUUAAAUAUCAUCUGUAGCCAUAACACUACCACCUCUGAUCUUCCUCAUCCCUACAAUCACACCCUUGCAUAUCAUAUCUUGCAUUCAUAAAAACAUCAAUAUUAAAAGGUCGCAAAUUUACAAGUUGUUUUUUAUGACUUAUGUACACUUGAAAUAAACGAAAAGAUGUGUAACAGCAAUUAUAAUGAUAGAACCAAAGCAUAAUAACCCAGUGUCAUAAUUUGGCAAAAUCUCAAUGUCUUGUGAAACAAGUGAUGCCUUCAACCCCUUUACCAUGGAGUACAGAUCACACUGGCCUAGGCAUUCUAACUUUCCUCAAGGGUCUGUCAUAACCUGGCCCAUAGGCCAUGACAAAAAUGGGAAAAGACACAAAAUGCAAUACAUACAAGUUAUUUAUUGUAAUAAAGAAAAUAAACUGAACUGUAACUUUGGA
Molecule: long non-coding RNA, 1988 nt
Organism: Siniperca chuatsi (mandarin fish)
Lineage: Eukaryota; Metazoa; Chordata; Actinopteri; Centrarchiformes; Sinipercidae
Exons: 3
Source: RefSeq, a predicted model, not a curated record